RNAcentral lists this ribosomal RNA (465 nucleotides) under uncultured bacterium. RNAcentral describes it as "partial 16S ribosomal RNA". It matches the Rfam family "Bacterial small subunit ribosomal RNA", at positions 28 to 507 of the family's 1533-position model. The record is from RNAcentral.
GACGAACGCUGGCGGCGUGCUUAACACAUGCAAGUCGAACGGAAAGGCCCUGCUUGCAGGGUACUCGAGUGGCGAACGGGUGAGUAACACGUGGGUGAUCUGCCCUGCACUUCGGGAUAAGCCUGGGAAACUGGGUCUAAUACCGGAUAGGAGCCAUUUUUAGUGUGAUGGUUGGAAAGUUUUUUCGGUGUAGGAUGAGCUCGCGGCCUAUCAGCUUGUUGGUGGAGUAAUGGCCUACCAAGGCGGCGACGGGUAGCCGGCCUGAGAGGGUGGACGGCCACAUUGGGACUGAGAUACGGCCCAGACUCCUACGGGAGGCAGCAGUGGGGAAUAUUGCACAAUGGGCGCAAGCCUGAUGCAGCGACGCCGCGUGGGGGAUGACGGCCUUCGGGUUGUAAACUCCUUUCGCUAGGGACGAAGCUUUUUGUGACGGUACCUAGAGAAGAAGCACCGGCUAACUACGUG